AUGGACUCGUUUCUGCUGAGAUUCUUGCUGGCGGACGAGCAGGUUCUUACUAUGCUUGAUGGGGUUCGUUUAUUGAACACAAAUAACGAUGGGAUUCUUCUAGUGACAAAUUUCCAGUUUCUCUUUGUGAGUAAAGGAGAAAAAAAAAAGUUGGGCACGAUCCCUCUGACUACAAUUGCCAAAAUUGAGGACAUCACGGUUCUAUUACAAGGGAAAAUCAAACAGUCUUUGCAGCAGGAGCAGGCUGUAAGGUCUAUUCAAGUAACUGGUUACGACUCGAGAAUUCUUACGUUUGCUGUUAAAUCUAAUCACAAUGAUCAGCUCACUUGA
Molecule: ribosomal RNA, 330 nt
Filed under: Triticum aestivum (bread wheat)
Lineage: Eukaryota; Viridiplantae; Streptophyta; Magnoliopsida; Poales; Poaceae
Description: partial small subunit ribosomal RNA
Source: RNAcentral